UUGCACCUGAUGGCGAGUGGCGAACGGGUGAGUAACGCGUAGGAAUCUACCCAAUAGCGGGGGAUAGCCCGGGGAAACUCGGAUUAAUACCGCAUAAUCUCUACGGAGUAAAGGGGGCUUCGGCUCUCGCUAUUGGAUGAGCCUGCGUGGGAUUAGCUAGUUGGUGAGGUAAAGGCUCACCAAGGCGACGAUCUCUAACUGGUCUGAGAGGAUGAUCAGUCACACUGGAACUGAGACACGGUCCAGACUCC
This 251-nucleotide ribosomal RNA is filed under the name uncultured bacterium. Its description in RNAcentral is "partial 16S ribosomal RNA". It matches the Rfam family "Bacterial small subunit ribosomal RNA", at positions 79 to 339 of the family's 1533-position model. The record is from RNAcentral.